ACAACGGGUGGAGCCUGCGGUUAAUUGGACUCAACGCCGGGCAGCUCACCGGAUAAGACAGCUGGAUGAUAGCCGGGCUGAAGACUCUGCUUGACUAGCUGAGAGGAGGUGCAUGGCCGUCGUCAGUUCGUACUGUGAAGCAUCCUGUUAAGUCAGGCAACGAACGAGACCCUUGCAUCUAGUUGCCAGCAGAUCCCUUCGGGAUGCUGGGUACCCUAGAUGGACCGCCACUGCUAAAGUGGAGGAAGGAGAGGGCGAGGGUAGGUCAGUAUGCCCCGAAUCUCCCGGGCUACACGCGGCCUACAAUGGACAGGACAAUGGGCUCCGAUCCCGAAAGGGAAAGGCAAUCCUUUAAACCUGUUCUUAGUUCGGAUUGAGGGCUGUAACUCGCCCUCAUGAAGCUGGAAUCUCUAGUAAUCGCGUGUCAUCAUCGCGCGGUGAAUACGUCCCUGCUCCUU
RNAcentral lists this ribosomal RNA (458 nucleotides) under uncultured Thermoplasmata archaeon. RNAcentral's name for it is "bacterial SSU rRNA". It matches the Rfam family "Archaeal small subunit ribosomal RNA", at positions 881 to 1338 of the family's 1478-position model. The record is from RNAcentral. Lineage: Archaea; Methanobacteriati; Thermoplasmatota; Thermoplasmata.